Non-coding RNA from Schistosoma haematobium, 36 nucleotides. The record is from Rfam. NCBI's taxonomy places the organism in Eukaryota, Metazoa, Platyhelminthes, Trematoda, Strigeidida, Schistosomatidae.
GCUGAGGAGUCCCACAAUAGGACGAAACAGCCGUCC